Molecule: ribosomal RNA, 578 nt
Filed under: uncultured bacterium
Lineage: Bacteria
Description: bacterial SSU rRNA
Rfam family: Bacterial small subunit ribosomal RNA
Source: RNAcentral
CCUACGGGAGGCAGCAGUAAGGAAUAUUGGUCAAUGGAGGCAACUCUGAACCAGCCAUGCCGCGUGCAGGAAGACAGCCCUCUGGGUCGUAAACUGCUUUUAUUCGGGAAUAAACCUCAUUACGUGUAAUGAGCUGAAUGUACCGAAGGAAUAAGGAUCGGCUAACUCCGUGCCAGCAGCCGCGGUAAUACGGAGGAUCCAAGCGUUAUCCGGAUUUAUUGGGUUUAAAGGGUGCGUAGGCGGCCUGUUAAGUCAGGGGUGAAAGACGGUAGCUCAACUAUCGCAGUGCCCUUGAUACUGACGGGCUUGAAUGAACUAGAGGUAGGCGGAAUGUGACAAGUAGCGGUGAAAUGCAUAGAUAUGUCACAGAACACCGAUUGCGAAGGCAGCUUACUAUGGUUUUAUUGACGCUGAGGCACGAAAGCGUGGGGAUCAAACAGGAUUAGAUACCCUGGUAGUCCACGCCCUAAACGAUGAAUACUCGCUGUUAGCGAUAUACAGUUAGCGGCUAAGCGAAAGCGUUAAGUAUUCCACCUGGGAGUACGCCCGCAAGGGUGAAACUCAAAUGAAAUUGACGG